UUGAACGCUGGCGGCAGGCCUCACACAUGCCAGUCGAGCGGAUGAAGGGAGCUUGCUCCUGGAUUCAGCGGCGGACGGGUGAGUAAUGCCUAGGAAUCUGCCUGGUAGUGGGGGAUAACGUCCGGAAACGGGCGCUAAUACCGCAUACGUCCUGAGGGAGAAAGUGGGGGAUCUUCGGACCUCACGCUAUCAGAUGAGCCUAGGUCGGAUUAGCUAGUUGGUGGGGUAAAGGCCUACCAAGGCGACGAUCCGUAACUGGUCUGAGAGGAUGAUCAGUCACACUGGAACUGAGACACGGUCCAGACUCCUACGGGAGGCAGCAGUGGGGAAUAUUGGACAAUGGGCGAAAGCCUGAUCCAGCCAUGCCGCGUGUGUGAAGAAGGUCUUCGGAUUGUAAAGCACUUUAAGUUGGGAGGAAGGGCAGUAAGUUAAUACCUUGCUGUUUUGACGUUACCAACAGAAUAAGCACCGGCUAACUUCGUG
Molecule: ribosomal RNA, 483 nt
Filed under: uncultured bacterium
Lineage: Bacteria
Description: partial 16S ribosomal RNA
Rfam family: Bacterial small subunit ribosomal RNA
Source: RNAcentral